RNAcentral lists this ribosomal RNA (300 nucleotides) under uncultured Geoglobus sp. RNAcentral describes it as "bacterial SSU rRNA". It matches the Rfam family "Bacterial small subunit ribosomal RNA", at positions 496 to 795 of the family's 1533-position model. The record is from RNAcentral. Lineage: Archaea; Methanobacteriati; Methanobacteriota; Archaeoglobi; Archaeoglobales; Archaeoglobaceae.
UCUAACUACGUGGCUGCAGGCGCGGGAAUACUUUGGAUGCGGAGGUUGUGCUGAAUUAGUGGGAGUGACGCGCGCGCAGGCGGUCCUUUAAGUCGGAUGUGAAAGCCCACGGCUCAACCGUGGAGGGUCAUUGGAAACUGGGGGACUGGAGUGCAGAAGAGGAAAGCGGAAGUCCACGUGUAGCGGUGAAAGGCGUAGAGAUGUGGAGGAACACCAGUGGCGAAGGCGGCUGUCUGGUCUGUAACUGACGCUGAGGCGCGAAAGCGUGGGGAGCAAACAGGAUUAGAUACCCCUGUAGUC